AACGAACGCUGGCGGCAUGCCUAACACAUGCAAGUCGAACGAGACCUUCGGGUCUAGUGGCGCACGGGUGCGUAACGCGUGGGAACCUGCACUUAGGUUCGGAAUACCUCCCCGAAAGGGGUGCUAAUACCGGAUAAUGUCUUAGGACCAAAGAUUUAUCGAAUUUGGAUGGGCCCGCGUUGCAUUAGCUAGUUGGUAGGGUAAAAGCCUACGAAGGCGACGAUCAAUAGCUGGUCUGAGAGGAUUAUCAGCCACACUGGGACUGAGACACGGCCCAGACUCCUACGGGAGGCAGCAGUGGGGAAUAUUGGACAACGGGCUAAAGCCUGAUCCAGCUAGGACGCGUGAGUGAUGAAGGCCUUAGGGUUGUAAAGCUCUUUUAACCGGGAUGAUAAUGACAGUACCGGGAGAAUAAGCUCCGGCUAACUCCGUG
This 433-nucleotide ribosomal RNA is filed under the name uncultured bacterium. Its description in RNAcentral is "partial 16S ribosomal RNA". It matches the Rfam family "Bacterial small subunit ribosomal RNA", at positions 29 to 507 of the family's 1533-position model. The record is from RNAcentral.